RNAcentral lists this microRNA (23 nucleotides) under Monodelphis domestica (gray short-tailed opossum). RNAcentral's name for it is "mdo-miR-7326-5p". Lineage: Eukaryota; Metazoa; Chordata; Mammalia; Didelphimorphia; Didelphidae. The record is from miRBase by way of RNAcentral.
UCAGAGAGGCGAUAGUUGAGUUU